AUGCAUGUAUAAGUACAUACUUACACAUAGUGAAACCGCGAAUGGCUCAUUAAAUCAGUUAUGGUUCCUUAGAUCGUAAAAAUCCACUUGGAUAACUGUGGUAAUUCUAGAGCUAAUACAUGCAUUAAAACACUGACCUUAUGGAAGUGUGCUUUUAUUAGAUCAAAACUAAUAUGAACUUCGGUUCGUUUGUUUGGUGACUCUGGAUAACUUUGGGCUGAUUGCAUGGCCUUGUGCCGGCAACGUAUCUUUCAAAUGUCUGCCCUAUCAACUUUCGAAGGUAGAUGAUAUGCCUACCUUGGUUGUAACGGGUAACGGGGAAUUAGGGUUCCAUUCCGGAGAGGGCGCAUGAGAAACGGCGACCACA
Molecule: ribosomal RNA, 367 nt
Filed under: Tomopteris sp. USNM IZ 1448226
Lineage: Eukaryota; Metazoa; Annelida; Polychaeta; Phyllodocida; Tomopteridae
Also listed under: 9 other names
Description: SSU rRNA
Rfam family: Eukaryotic small subunit ribosomal RNA
Source: RNAcentral